UGGGGAAUCUUCCGCAAUGGGCGAAAGCCUGACGGAGCAAUACCGCGUGAGGGAGGAAUGCCUUUGGGUUGUAAACCUCUUUUCUCAGGGAAGAAGAUCUGACGGUACCUGAGGAAUAAGUAUCGGCUAACUCCGUGCCAGCAGCCGCGGUAAUACGGAGGAUGCAAGCGUUAUCCGGAAUCAUUGGGCGUAAAGCGUCCGCAGGUGGUUUCCAAAGUCUGCUGUUAAAGACUGGAGCUCAACUUCGGAACGGCGGUGGAAACUUGGAAACUAGAGUUCGGUAGGGGUAGCAGGAAUUCCCAGUGUAGCGGUGAAAUGCGUAGAUAUUGGGAAGAACAUCGGUGGCGAAGGCGUGCUACUGGACCGUAACUGACACUCAGGGACGAAAGCUAGGGGAGCGAAAGGGAUUAGAUACCCCUGUAGUCCUAGCUGUAAACGAUGGAAACUAGGUGUGGCUUGA
This 460-nucleotide ribosomal RNA is filed under the name uncultured cyanobacterium. RNAcentral's name for it is "bacterial SSU rRNA". It matches the Rfam family "Bacterial small subunit ribosomal RNA", at positions 355 to 830 of the family's 1533-position model. Lineage: Bacteria; Bacillati; Cyanobacteriota. The record is from RNAcentral.